This is a long non-coding RNA of Pseudophryne corroboree (corroboree frog), 595 nucleotides long. RefSeq lists it as uncharacterized. The transcript has 2 exons. The record is from RefSeq and is a predicted model, not a curated record. NCBI's taxonomy places the organism in Eukaryota, Metazoa, Chordata, Amphibia, Anura, Myobatrachidae.
UAAUACAGUGGAGGGGGAAGAAGCUACUAGAUUGUCCCCGCAGCAGCAUGAUCCGCAUGCCGUAGCCAGGGAGCAGGAGUCAUGAGCAGUUGGAGAGGAGGUUAUAAUAGGGGCUGCUGGUGCGGCAGUUAGGGGAAGAGCCAGGAGCCCUGUGAGGAGUGAGGAGGCCAGAGUAGUGCGCAUCGUUCACUUGUUGGUCAACAUAACGGUAGCGGGCGGCGCAACAGAGGAGUGGCAGAGGACCGGGUGAUCACUUACCAGUGAAGGAGGUGAUUCCCCGCUGACAUCGGUGAGGUGUUGGAGUCGCUGGCAGCGGGAGUUUGUGUAGAGAGGGAGGAGAGCUGUCAGGCUGUCAGGUCGUUGUCAUGGCAGCCCUGCCCGAGGACCUGUUAGGAAACUGGAACAUGGAGAUUAUGAUGAACAGGGAGAGUGCGGAACAGCUAUUAAGAAUAGAUGAAUGCUCACAUGGGAGAAUGCAUGAAUAAGUCAGAGGCAAAGCUGGUUUCUGAAUAACAUCAGGAGAUCAUUUUCUCUCUUAACUCCUCUUAAUACAUCCGUUAAAAAAAGAGAAUGAAGGAUGUCAGAUCAAACACAA